UACAGAGGGUGCGAGCGUCAAUCGGAGCUACUGGGCGUAAAGGGCGCGUAGGCGGUGAGAUGAGUGUGAUGUGAAAGCCCCGGGCUUAACCUGGGAAGUGCAUCGCAAACGAUCUGACUGGAGUAUAUGAGAGGGUGGCGGAAUUUCCGGUGCAGCGGUGAAAUGCGUAGAGAUCGGAAGGAACGUCGAUGGCGAAGGCAGCCACCUGGCAUAAUACUGACGCUGAGGCGCGAGAGCGUGGGGAGCGAACAGG
Molecule: ribosomal RNA, 253 nt
Filed under: uncultured bacterium
Lineage: Bacteria
Description: partial 16S ribosomal RNA
Rfam family: Bacterial small subunit ribosomal RNA
Source: RNAcentral